RNAcentral lists this long non-coding RNA (7226 nucleotides) under Sus scrofa (pig). Its description in RNAcentral is "lncRNA (ENSSSCG00045014258.1)". The record is from RNAcentral. Lineage: Eukaryota; Metazoa; Chordata; Mammalia; Artiodactyla; Suidae.
AACAGGAAUGCUGGGGCACACGCAGUGUCUUGUUUUCUCCACCAGGUGACAGCCUAGGACCUCUUCAGCAGGGAGCCAGCGUGAAAGCCAGAGGUCACACGGGCACUGAGAGCUUUCAUUUGCCAUUGUGGGGGGACAUACCACUAGGAAAGCCCCCAUUUCUUGUCGGUAGGUAGCACAAGCCCUUUGAAAAGGAGACAGAGGGGAUUAGAAUAGGAGUGCCUUCUUGACUGAUAUUCUUUCAUUGAGCUGAUUUAGGCUGUGGGAGGCUUCUGAGCUAAUCCACAAAUGCAUAUCUCACUCUGUACUUGGAAAAAUGGGAGUUCCCGUCAUGGCUCAGCGGUUAAUGAACCCGACUAGUGUCCUUGAGGAUGUGGGUUUGAUCCCCGGCCUCGCCCAGUGGGUUAAGGAUCUGGCGUUGCUGUGAGCUGUGGUGUAGGUCACAGACAUGGCUCAGAUCCCAUUGCUGUGGCUGUGGUGUAGACCAGCAGCUGUAGCUCCAGGUCGACCCCUAGCCUGGGAACUUCCAUAUGCCUCAGGUGUGGCCCUAAAAAAGCCAAAAAGAAAUGGUUGCGCUCGUGACAUUUCCAGAGUCAGGGCAGUGACGUCCCCAUGGUUAAAGUCUGCCCUGCAGAGAACUUGGGGACAGUGCCACCUCGCUGUGACUGCAGCACCCACAUCCGCAUAGACACGUGUUGGGUUUUUAACACGCUACGCCACAGUGGGCACUCCGGAAAUUUAUUUCAAUUUCUAAUACGGUAAAUAUGGAUAGACGCUACCCACGCUAACGAAACCUCUUUGGGGUGCUCAGUAAUUUUUAAAAGUGUGAAGGGGUCCUGAGACUGAAAGCUUGAGAGGCGUGUGUUCGGGCCAGGCUUCCUGAGCCUGGCGGUCACGAUGAGCGGGAGCAGGAGCGCAGGGCUGCCUGGUUCUUUUCUCCUGCCCCUGCCGAGCCCACUUCAGACUUUCUUGGCCAUGUUCUUACGACUCUAAGGUGUCCGUUCUAGGCAACUCAUGGUUUAAAAAAAAAAAAAAAGUGUUUUAUUUGGGUACAUUCAUAAAAACCCACUGAUGAGAGAGGAAGAGAAACAUCCCCGGCCAGUUUUUGUAAAUCAAGUUGUAUUGGAACCCACCAUGCCUGGCGGUAGGCCUGUCGCCUGUGCAGAGCGUCCCUGGCGCACGAGGCCGAUGGCGUGAGGUGAGGGGGCCUGUGUCAGGCCCUCAGAGGAUUCUGUCCUGGGCGCAGGCCACCUCCAACGAGUGUGGGGCGGCCCCUGAGUCGAUGUUCUUGCCGAGGCAUCCGCGAGGGCCUCACCCCGGGGGGUGGCGCCAGCCUACGGGGCAGGGCAGGGGUCUGUGGCCUUCGGCAGAUCUUCAGGCAAGUCCGUGACCCUCGGAAGCAUGGAAACCAUAGCGCCGUGGACUGUCGUGAAGAGAGAAUGAGAGAAAAAAGUGUAUUUUGUUAGACUGGCUUAAUACAGUGAUUUUUAAUUCUUUCAAUCACCGAAAGCUCUUUUCAUUACUUAUUCUCGGCAGGUCACCCCAGCUUCCUUCAGUGUCAUCAGCCUAAUCACAGCUUCUGAUCAACAGUGUGAAAUAAUCAACAAAGGUUGCGGGUUUGAUCCCUGGCCUUGCUCAGUGGGUUAAGGAUCCGGCGUUGCCAUGAGCUGUGGUGUAGGUCGCAGACACGGCUCGGAUCCCGCGUUGCUGUGGCUCUGGCGUAGGCCCGUGGCGACGGCUGAGAAUCUCCAUAUGCUGCAGGAGCAGCCCUAGAAAAGGCAAAAAGACAAAAAACAAGCAAAAAAGAGACAGACAGGAGGGGCUGGCAGGAGUGGAGUCAGAGACGAGCGUGGCCCCGGCCCCUCAUCUAGCAGGGCCUUGGGUGUAGUUCUGGAGCAAAAGGGAGUCCGGAGGCAGAGACCCUGGCUUGACCUGACAGUGAAAAUCCCUUGCAGUUAUUUUCCUCACGUGGGAUGGUCAGCAGCCACUCCCUUGGGCCAUUUUUCUUUCUUUCUUUGCUACUUUUUAUUAGUCAUCUCAGGUAAAGUGUUGCCCGCAGUGAGGUGCACGGCCCUUAGCUGUUGGGUUCUGUGCAGGACACGGGCAGCUUCCCCCACUCGGGGCCAAGCAGAGGCCCGGAAGCCAGGCCGCCCGCGUGGGUCCCGUGCAGUGUGAGCUUGGGGCCCAGAGCUGAGGCAGGAGGUGGGAAGGGGUGACUGGAGGGUGAGUCAGAGCGAUUCUCAUGCCACCCAGGCUUCGCCAUCACACUGGGUUCUUUCACUUUGGUGUUGGACUCAGAAUUCCCUCUGAAGCGUGGCGGGGAGGAUGCAGGAGAGAAAGAUGAUGGGCGGUGCGGGUGUUUUUAAGCCUCGAGGCUUUCCUUGUGCCUGGGGAAGGAUUGUUUGGGGACGUUUUACCCUUUAAGUGGUUGUCCUGGGGCUUUGCUUUCGUGCCUCCCAUAGAUCACCUGGCAUUAAGUCCUCAGGCUGGCCGGCGGCUCCCGGGCAUUGCCUGGCAUUCUGGGCUGCGAGCCCAUCCCUGAGCUGUCAGUGGGUUGCAGGGCUCCAGAUUGCCACCAAGGGUGGGCCUUAGAAGCUUGGCGCUUGGAGCGAGGGACUUGGGGUGGAGCCCUGGCUUCCCCCCCUGCAAGCUGGGUGCCCUUGGUCACCUCCUAAACGUCUUCGGGCCCAAGUCCUCCGGUCGUCAGGCGGUGGUCACAGCGCCCCUGCCCUCAGAGGCUCCUGGGAGGCGUUCACGAGACGGUGCGGGAGGGGGGCCUGGCGCACCGUUGCUGCUCAGGAGAUGGGACGCCCAGCUCUGCGGUUUUUAUCGUUGUCACAGUUCCAGGACCAUCCAGGGAAGACUGGGGCCCGGGGAAGGGGCUCUUUGACGGCCCGCUUGGUUACUCUCUGAUGCAAGCGGGAAGGGGAAGAUGUGCGGAAGGCGUGACGCUGCCUCCAGGCGGGCGCCUGUGCUCCUCGGCUCCUGCGGCGGAGCUGACGUCAGAAGCAGGGCCUGGGCUGGCGCUUCCUGCCUCGGGGGGCACUUGCUCGGUUCUUGGGGGAAGAAGCACUUGCCAAAGCCCGGAGUCCUGGCCACGGGCCUGAGAGUGAGGGGAGGAAGGGGACGCCACACCGAGGCAGCCUGUAGCCGCGCCCGAAGCAGCUGGGCCUGCCCCCAACCCCUGCCCUCCCGUCCCGGGGAGGCUGCUCCGAGCCUCACAGCCGGGCUCGGUUCCAGGGUCAGGCCGCCGGGGCGUCCGUCCUUCAGGAACGCUCUUGGGGUGAUUCCGGUGCUCAGCCAGGUUAGGAAGCAUUUGCCGUGAAGAAAUUCUCCUCUGAAGGAGACCAGGGCCCCCCCAGAGAGGCAGCGGCAGGCAGGCCAGGCGCAGGCACCCGGAGUUGCAGUGGUGCAGGGACCGGAGUUCAGGUCUCCUGGCUCCCGUCCGAAGUACGUCUGCUCUCCCCAUGCUCAUUUUUUUACCAUAUUUGCUGUUCCCCGUGGCGGGGUGAGAAACAGCCAGCCCAGCCUGGGUGAGCCUUCACUCCCGUGGGAGCCCAGCCCAGCCGAGGUCCAGCGAGCACAGGCUGUCAGCGUGCGUAACUCUGGGGAAGGCUUCUUUGGAAGAAAAGCAAAAGGGAGGCUUGAGAUCCCGGGCUUCGCCCUGCUGCUCACUGCCCGUUGCCUCGUGCUGGCGAGGUUGCAGCCUGGGGGUGGGUCCUCCUCUGCUCUCAGGCCACCCAGCGUGUGCGCGUGUGGCCGCCCUGCUUCCAGGAGAUCCCGGGGCCACCACUGCGUCCUGUUUUACUUACUGGAGCCUGGGUUCCUGCCAAACGUGGCAGCCCCAGCACCUCUUCUGGCAUUGGACUGAGAAGGCAGACAGGCGGCCCUUGAGCAGGGCAGGGUUAGGGGCCUGGCCCUCUGCACAGUCGAACAUCCAAGUGUAACUUAGAGUCGACCCUCCAUCAUCACGGUUCCUCUGUAUCUGUGGUUCCACAGCUGUGCGUUCAGCAAACCGCGGCCCCCACAGUACCGUAAUGUUGACCCCUGAGAAAAAAGUGCACGUUUGAGUGGCCCAGAGCAGUUCAAACCCAUGUUGUUCAGGGAUCGGCUGGAAUCCUAAUGGAAUCCUAAUACUGUCACAUCAGACAUUGAUCCAGUGCUUGCUGUGUGCUGUUGGUGUUCCAGGUAGUUUCAUCAAUCCCCCCAACAACCCUAGUGGUAGGUGGUGUUAUUCUUGUUUAUGGAUGAAGGAGCUGAGGCUCAGAGAGGUUAAGUGAGUUAUCUGAGGUUACACAGCCAGUAAGCAGCACAGUUGGAAUUUUAACCCAAGCUGUUCAGAUAUGUAGGGCCUGUGCUGUUACCCACUCCUGUUUCUUAUGACAGUAAGCGAGCUUGCUUCCUGCCUUUGCUGCCUUGGCUGUAACUUGAACACCAUGUGGGACCCAGGAGCCUGAUCCCAGGAGCUGAGCUUUUGCAAUAAAUGUCUUACUUUUGCCUGGAAUUGCUGUCUGUCCUGACUAGGGGCUUCAGAGCAGAGUCAGUACUGGUUGUUCCCAAGAUGCGUUUCCCCAUCCUGGCUCGUGCCCUGGGAUGGCAUGGCAUCACUGCCUUGCUGGCGUGUCCUCACGGCGCCUGGAUGUGGCGGACAGGCUCGUUUUUAGAGCGCUUCCUGGCCUGCCUCACUCCGAGUGUCUGACCCAGAUUCCAGGGGCUGUGAGGGGCAGGACCUUAACCCCUCCACUCUCUCUCAGCCAGCUCUCCCUCUGCCCCCUGAUUCCCUUCCCUGUGGCUGGGAGGGGACCCAUCAGGCUUCACCUGAAGAGUUCUCUCCGAUGUCCUCAACGCCAUCUCCCCUGCCAGCCACCAGGGCGGGGCCCGCCUUGCUCCCUGCCCGCUCUGUAUGGACAGAUGCCUCGCCGCUUCUCAGAGGAACCUCCACAAAUUCAAGGGUCAUGACCUCAGUUGGGCCCUUAUUCUUGGUUCUCCCACCCUUUCUCCAGAAGACGUGCUGAAGUGUAGAUUUGAUCAAGGUCCUGCCCGGCCUCGGCCUGAGGAGGAGGCUGCUGGUGGUCGUCUCCGUCUGACCGGGUUUCUCGCCCCACCCUCGGUCUGGCCGAGGCCCAGGUGUGACGCCGGCCUCUCCGAACCUUGGUCCCUGCCCUUCCCAUGCUCUGCUGGGCCUCUGUGUGGAUGCCGCCUCCUUGGGGACCCUGUCCUCCCCCACCCCUUGCCCGGCCACGUCUUUCUGUUGGUCUCAUGGCUCCUGUUGAAGCGAAGGCAGAGUUGGUUUGCCAGGGGAUAUUUCAGCAAGCAAAAUUCAGAAGAGACUUUUAACGUGUUUUUAUUGUUUAAAUGAUCUGAUUGUUGGUGCUGUUCUUUCUCAAUUAUUGACAAAGGAGAGGAUGGAGCAUCCAAAUUCAAGAGUGGUUUGCUCGUUUGGAAGGGCCCCGGCUCUCGGAGGCCACCUGGGCUUGUGGGGCAGAGUGGAGCAGGACCUGGCCAUCUCAUUGACCGCUGCCAGUGGGAGCAGGGACGUGCACACGAAAAGGAACACGAAAGGAACACUGGUUUAAACAAAUGUGCGAGUCAUCCAACAUGUCUCAGUUUUGAGAUCUUGUCCUCCUGUCCCCCAGACCACCCGGCACUGUGCGCCAAGCACUGUGGGUGAAUAGCCAGUGACCCAGGGCCCCUCAUGCCCAGGGGGACGGCAGUUGCCCCAGGGCAGAGGCCAUGGUCUCUGCUGCAUCCUGGAGCCUGGCCUGGGGUCAGAGGAGAUGAAAACGGACUGAGAACUAGAGUUUAUUGAAAAAUAAAAAAAUAAUUUUUGAAAAAACUAGCAAGACCACCCACCAGAGGGGUUGCUAGAUAAGACAGCCUCGGCUGAUCUGCCUCCAUGGUUUAGCUUCUUUGCAGGUGGCGUGAGUGCAUGGGGUCAUCGCAGCUCCAGCCGUGGGUGUUAGAGCCUCUCAAUUUUGGAAAUUAGAUUUUCUCAGAUUGUCUGAACCUUCCCUCAUUGCCCCACAUGGAACCUUGGAGGAGGUUCCUGCAGAUACCGUUAGUUGAUAAUCAUCUUGAAGAUUAAUUUAGGAUUCCAGGAGUUUCUUUUUGGAAUCCUAGGCUCGACUGCCCCCCACUAAUCAUGAGCCAGAGGAAGGAGACAGAGGAAAGUCGAUCCUUCACCACCCACAGUCCGUUCUUAAAGGGAACCAGUAAUUAAGUGCUAUUAAGCAAAAUUAAUUUGCCUCCUGCGGGAAGGUUUAUGAUGAAUGAAAGGAUUGCUGAUGGGGAGGGAGCCAGGCUGCCCUCUGUGGUCAUCAAUAUUUCAUGGCCUUUGGCAGUGGCAGGAAGUUAGCUAUCCCGGCUCCCUGACCUUGAGCAAUCUUGAAGGUGAGACAAAGCCAGGGAUGUCUGUUUUAAGGGCUUUGUUGCAAGACACCUAGUGAAAAUCUGAGUGGAAUUUGCAGGACACAUUGGUGGGUUAAUUGACUACACCCUCAGUGAGCUGAGGCUCCCGCAGCUGGGGCUCAGGACCCACCCGAAACUGUCUCAGUGCGGGAGCGGCUCUGUCAGCCACAGGGGCUGAGCUGCAGUCUUUAAUGACAGCUUUGGGGUGGAGGAGGCCCGAUUUGUAGUGUCUGUGCGUUUCUGUGGUGUCACUGUACCCCCAGUAUGGCUGGUUAAUGCUUCUGACCCCACUGGUUGGCUGAUACAGUGCAGCCCCAGGACCCCCCAGCCGGCUGCUCCCUCAGCUCCUGGUGAUCAGGGAGACCCCGCAGAGCUGCAUUUCCAGAAACACGGGUGUGCCCUCAGGCAGAACUCAUCCGUGCUGGACCCGACCCGGCCGGCCGGCCUCUUAGUCAAGAGGGUGCCUGAAAGGGAUGGGCUUUAAAAAUGAGAAGAGACGUUAACGAGCGUCUCCUUCUGUCCUUUUCUUCUCCCUAGCUGCUAUCAACUUAGCAAAGCUGAAGCUUUUCAGACAUUACUACGUCUUGGUGAGUACACGGUUCCUGAGUCUGUAAAUACGGUUGGCUGAAGUAAUAGAGCAGGUGAACUUCCAAAGAAUUGGUCAGAGCCCAGGAAGGGUGCUCCCUGGAGCUUCGCGGGCUUCGUUUGGUAAAACCAAGCAGUGGCUCUGGUCUUGCGAAAUUAAACAUGUGAGGGGUUCCCAUCGUGGCUCGGUGGUUAAUGAAUCCAACUAGUACCCAUGAGGAUGUGGGUUUGAU